RNAcentral lists this transfer RNA (70 nucleotides) under Lachnospiraceae bacterium. RNAcentral describes it as "tRNA-Gly". It matches the Rfam family "tRNA". From Rfam's summary of the family: Transfer RNA (tRNA) molecules are approximately 80 nucleotides in length. Their secondary structure includes four short double-helical elements and three loops (D, anti-codon, and T loops). The record is from RNAcentral. Lineage: Bacteria; Bacillati; Bacillota; Clostridia; Lachnospirales; Lachnospiraceae.
GCGAGUGGCUCAGCGGUGGAGCACCACCUUGCCAAGGUGGGGGUCGCGGGUUCGAAUCCCGUCUUCCGCU